GACGAACGCUGGCGGCGUGCUUAACACAUGCAAGUCGAACGGAAAGGCCCUGCUUUUGUGGGGUGCUCGAGUGGCGAACGGGUGAGUAACACGUGAGUAACCUGCCCUUGACUUUGGGAUAACUUCAGGAAACUGGGGCUAAUACCGGAUAGGAGCUCCUGCUGCAUGGUGGGGGGUGGAAAGUUUCGGCGGUUGGGGAUGGACGCGCGGCUUAUCAGCUUGUUGGUGGGGUAGUGGCUUACCAAGGCUUUGAUGGGUAGCCGGCCUGAGAGGGUGACCGGCCACAUUGGGACUGAGAUACGGCCCAGACUCCUACGGGAGGCAGCAGUGGGGAAUAUUGCACAAUGGGCGGAAGCCUGAUGCAGCGACGCCGCGUGCGGGAUGACGGCCUUCGGGUUGUAAACCGCUUUCGCCUGUGACGAAGCGUGAGUGACGGUAAUGGGUAAAGAAGCACCGGCUAACUACGUG
Molecule: ribosomal RNA, 468 nt
Filed under: uncultured bacterium
Lineage: Bacteria
Description: partial 16S ribosomal RNA
Rfam family: Bacterial small subunit ribosomal RNA
Source: RNAcentral